UCGAGAAUUUUUCUCAAUGGGGGAAACCCUGAAGGAGCGACGCCGCGUGGAGGAUGAAGGUCUUCGGAUUGUAAACUCCUGUCAUUCGAGAACAAGGCCUGCGAGUAACUAUUGUCAGGCUCGAUAGUAUCGAAAGAGGAAGGGACGGCUAACUCUGUGCCAGCAGCCGCGGUAAUACAGAGGUCCCGAGCGUUGUUCGGAUUCAUUGGGCGUAAAGGGUGCGUAGGCGGCAUGGCAAGUCGGGUGUGAAAUCCCGGGGCUCAACCCCGGAACUGCACUCGAUACUGCCGUGCUCGAGUACUGGAGAGGAGACUGGAAUUUACGGUGUAGCAGUGAAAUGCGUAGAUAUCGUAAGGAAGACCGGUGGCGAAAGCUAGUCUCUGGACAGUUACUGACGCUGAGGCACGAAGGCCAGGGGAGCAAACGGGAUUAGAUACCCGGGUAGUCC
This 448-nucleotide ribosomal RNA is filed under the name uncultured bacterium. RNAcentral describes it as "bacterial SSU rRNA". It matches the Rfam family "Bacterial small subunit ribosomal RNA", at positions 355 to 796 of the family's 1533-position model. The record is from RNAcentral.